CCGUAUACGUCGUUAGGGAGAAAGUAUUUAUCGGAGAUGGAUGACGCCCGCGUUGGAUUAGCUAGUUGGUGAAGGUAAAGGCUCACCAAGGCGACGAUCCAUAGCUGGUCUGAGAGGAUGAUCAGCCACACGUGGGACUGAGACACCGGCCCAGACUCCGUACGGGAGGCAGCAGGUGGGGAAUAUUGGACAAGUGGGGGCAACCCUGAUCCAGCCAUGCCGCGUGAGUGAUGAAGGCCCUAGGGUUGUAAAGCUCUUUCACCGGUGAAGAUAAUGACGGUAACCGGAGAAGAAGCCCCGGCUAACUUCGUG
RNAcentral lists this ribosomal RNA (312 nucleotides) under uncultured bacterium. Its description in RNAcentral is "bacterial SSU rRNA". It matches the Rfam family "Bacterial small subunit ribosomal RNA", at positions 169 to 507 of the family's 1533-position model. The record is from RNAcentral.